This 859-nucleotide ribosomal RNA is filed under the name uncultured marine bacterium. Its description in RNAcentral is "bacterial SSU rRNA". It matches the Rfam family "Bacterial small subunit ribosomal RNA", at positions 8 to 915 of the family's 1533-position model. The record is from RNAcentral.
AGAGUUUGAUCCUGGCUCAGAACGAACGCUGGCGGCAGGCCUAACACAUGCAAGUCGAGCGCGCCUUUCGGGGUGAGCGGCGGACGGGUUAGUAACGCGUGGGAACGUACCCUUUUCUGCGGAAUAGCCUCUGGAAACGGAGAGUAAUACCGCAUACGCCCUUCGGGGGAAAGAUUUAUCGGAGAAGGAUCGGCCCGCGUUAGAUUAGAUAGUUGGUGGGGUAACGGCUUACCAAGUCUACGAUCUAUAGCUGGUUUUAGAGGAUGAUCAGCAACACUGGGACUGAGACACGGCCCAGACUCCUACGGGAGGCAGCAGUGGGGAAUCUUGGACAAUGGGCGCAAGCCUGAUCCAGCCAUGCCGCGUGAGUGAAGAAGGCCUUAGGGUCGUAAAGCUCUUUCGCCUGUGAUGAUAAUGACAGUAGCAGGUAAAGAAACCCCGGCUAACUCCGUGCCAGCAGCCGCGGUAAUACGGAGGGGGUUAGCGUUGUUCGGAAUUACUGGGCGUAAAGCGCGCGUAGGCGGAUUGGAAAGUUGGGGGUGAAAUCCCGAGGCUCAACCUCGGAACUGCCUCCAAAACUCCCAGUCUAGAGUUCGAGAGAGGUGAGUGGAAUUCCAAGUGUAGAGGUGAAAUUCGUAGAUAUUUGGAGGAACACCAGUGGCGAAGGCGGCUCACUGGCUCGAUACUGACGCUGAGGUGCGAAAGUGUGGGGAGCAAACAGGAUUAGAUACCCUGAUAGUCCACACCGUAAACGAUGAAUGCCAGUCGUCGGGCAGUAUACUGUUCGGUGACACACCUAACGGAUUAAGCAUUCCGCCUGGGGAGUACGGUCGCAAGAUUAAAACUCAAGGAAUUGACG